This 407-nucleotide RNase P RNA is filed under the name Acidobacteriota bacterium. Its description in RNAcentral is "Acidobacteria bacterium RNase P RNA component class A". It matches the Rfam family "Bacterial RNase P class A". Rfam says of the family: Ribonuclease P (RNase P) is a ubiquitous endoribonuclease, found in archaea, bacteria and eukarya as well as chloroplasts and mitochondria. Its best characterised activity is the generation of mature 5'-ends of tRNAs by cleaving the 5'-leader elements of precursor-tRNAs. Cellular RNase Ps are ribonucleoproteins. Lineage: Bacteria; Pseudomonadati; Acidobacteriota. The record is from RNAcentral.
CAGCUGGACCGGACGGCCGCUCUUGUCGCGUCAAGUGAUGAGGGAGGAAAGUCCGAACUCCGCAGAGCAGUGUGCCGGAUAACGUCCGGGAGGCCGGGUUCAAGCCCGGUUGACGGAAAGUGCCACAGAAAAUAUACCGCCUCGGCGGCAACGCCGGAGUAAGGGUGAAAAGGUGCGGUAAGAGCGCACCGCCGCUGCAGUAAUGCAGCGGGCAGGGCAAACCCCACACGGAGCAAGACCAAAUAGGGAGGGAGCGCGGAAUUUCGGUUCCGCGCACGCGCCGGCUCGGCGCGUCAAACCUCCGGGUAGGUCGCUAGAGCCUCGCAGCGAUGCCGGGCCCAGAGGAAUGGCCGUCCCGCCCGGAGCGAUCCGGCGGACAGAAUUCGGCUUACAGGUCCGGCUGCCAC